RNAcentral lists this long non-coding RNA (1311 nucleotides) under Androctonus crassicauda. Lineage: Eukaryota; Metazoa; Arthropoda; Arachnida; Scorpiones; Buthidae. The record is from RNAcentral.
GGAAAAUACUAAUUUUUCCAGAUUUUUAAAAAAUUCUUUAAUAUCAUAAUUUAUUUUUUUUAUAUAGGAGAAGAAUUCUGCACUUUCCUACUCCCAGGUUCUUAUGUAACCAAAGAAUUACAAAUGCCUACUUUAGAUUACACCCAUGGUAGACAAAAUGCAUUCUCUGAUAUAUGCAUUUGAGAAACUGCUUGCCAAAUGAUGCAUAGAUAAAAUUGAAAGAUAUAACCAUACAGUUGAUUCAUCUUAGCAGUUUAUAGACAGACUCCUACAUAUACACAUUGAGACCCAAGAUGUCCUCACAGAACUAGAUUACAAAAAUUAUAUCUAUCAGUCUGUCUCCCCAGGUUUGCCUGAUUCUAUAUAGAUUUCUGAUUGAACACUUACCAAAAAAUAAUAUGAUAUGUAACCUACUAAGAGAAGGAUUGCUACAUGCUAGCAUAUAUUCAUGUUUUCAAUUUAGUGGCAUUUAUCUACAAGCAAAUCACAGGUAUUUAUUGGUGGACCUAUGGCUGGUGUUAUUAUCAAGCUGUUUAUUAGGCAUAAAGAAAGCAUAAUAAUACCAGUAUUGUUAUCUUUAAUAAAAUUAUUUGCUAGAUACGUUGACAAUAUCUUUAUGGAAUGGAAUAUCAAAGAUGACACUGAUGACAUUUGUCAAUACUCUAACAGAACAAACACUAGAAUUAACCUUAAUCUUAGACCAGAAAUUCUAACCUGUGUGCAUUUCUUAAAUAUAUUAGUGACUACCAAAAAUGAAGCCUACAGGAAAGAGAGCUUUUCCCUUAUACUUAUUCCAGCCUAGUUCUAUUAUCCAAUCAGUUACAAAAAAAGUAGUGUCCUCCUAAAAUGAAUUUUCUCUCACUGCACCACUUUAGCUUUCAAAUACCAUAUGUAUAAUAUCAUUUUAGCCAUUCUCAGGCCCACAUUUACACUACUCAAUUUGUUAAGAAAAUAUAUGAUGACCUCAUAUCCUCUGCUCUGGUAACCAAAAUAAUAAUCCAUGAGUCAGGGAGAACAGAUUCUCACCUUAAAAGAUUAAUAACAUAUAAUUCCUUUCUUGAUUUUAUAAAAUAAAAAGCUGGUGUAGGCCUCCCAGGUGUAUAGAAGGUAAUUUGACAUUAGAAAUGAUCAGCCAUACUAGUCAACCUCAGGCAUAUUCCUGAUUUCACCCAUGACAUUGAGUUGGACAGAAAUGAAGUUUAUAUUAGUAAUACAGUGAGAAGCCUGAAUUAGAAUAAUGGAACAUAAGUUCUCAAUAGCUAUGUCUCCCUUAGCUGCCAAAUAUUUAUGUUGAAUAUGACUCUUUCUUAU